RNAcentral lists this transfer RNA (75 nucleotides) under Halarcobacter ebronensis. RNAcentral describes it as "Arcobacter ebronensis tRNA-Gln". It matches the Rfam family "tRNA". From Rfam's summary of the family: Transfer RNA (tRNA) molecules are approximately 80 nucleotides in length. The record is from RNAcentral. RNAcentral also lists the same sequence under 1 other name. Lineage: Bacteria; Pseudomonadati; Campylobacterota; Epsilonproteobacteria; Campylobacterales; Arcobacteraceae.
UGGGGUAUCGCCAAGUGGUAAGGCAACGGUUUUUGGUACCGUCACUCGCAGGUUCGAAUCCUGCUACCCCAUCCA